CAAGAUCGUACCAUGGUAUCCGUGCUUGCACUGGGGAUUAGUGGCGAACGGGUGAGUAACACGUGAGUAACCUGCCCUUGACUCUGGGAUAAGCCUGGGAAACUGGGUCUAAUACCGGAUAUGACCUUCCAUCGCAUGGUGGUUGGUGGAAAGCUUUUGUGGUUUUGGAUGGACUCGCGGCCUAUCAGCUUGUUGGUGGGGUAAUGGCCUACCAAGGCGACGACGGGUAGCCGGCCUGAGAGGGUGACCGGCCACACUGGGACUGAGACACGGCCCAGACUCCUACGGGAGGCAGCAGUGGGGAAUAUUGCACAAUGGGCGGAAGCCUGAUGCAGCGACGCCGCGUGAGGGAUGACGGCCUUCGGGUUGUAAACCUCUUUCAGUAGGGAAGAAGCGAAAGUGACGGUACCUGCAGAAGAAGCGCCGGCUAACUACGUGCCAGCAGCCGCGGUAAUACGUAGGGCGCAAGCGUUAUCCGGAAUUAUUGGGCGUAAAGAGCUCGUAGGCGGUUUGUCGCGUCUGCCGUGAAAGUCCGGGGCUCAACUCCGGAUCUGCGGUGGGUACGGGCAGACUAGAGUGAUGUAGGGGAGACUGGAAUUCCUGGUGUAGCGGUGAAAUGCGCAGAUAUCAGGAGGAACACCGAUGGCGAAGGCAGGUCUCUGGGCAUUAACUGACGCUGAGGAGCGAAAGCAUGGGGAGCGAACAGGAUUAGAUACCCUGGUAGUCCAUGCCGUAAACGUUGGGCACUAGGUGUGGGGGACAUUCCACGUUUUCCGCGCCGUAGCUAACGCAUUAAGUGCCCCGCCUGGGGAGUACGGCCGCAAGGCUAAAACUCAAAGGAAUUGACGGGGGCCCGCACAAGCGGCGGAGCAUGCGGAUUAAUUCGAUGCAACGCGAAGAACCUUACCAAGGCUUGACAUGAACCGGUAAUACCUGGAAACAGGUGCCCCGCUUGCGGUCGGUUUACAGGUGGUGCAUGGUUGUCGUCAGCUCGUGUCGUGAGAUGUUGGGUUAAGUCCCGCAACGAGCGCAACCCUCGUUCUAUGUUGCCAGCACGUGAUGGUGGGGACUCAUAGGAGACUGCCGGGGUCAACUCGGAGGAAGGUGGGGACGACGUCAAAUCAUCAUGCCCCUUAUGUCUUGGGCUUCACGCAUGCUACAAUGGCCGGUACAAAGGGUUGCGAUACUGUGAGGUGGAGCUAAUCCCAAAAAGCCGGUCUCAGUUCGGAUUGGGGUCUGCAACUCGACCCCAUGAAGUCGGAGUCGCUAGUAAUCGCAGAUCAGCAACGCUGCGGUGAAUACGUUCCCGGGCCUUGUACACACCGCCCGUCAAGUCACGAAAGUUGGUAACACCCGUAGCCGA
Molecule: ribosomal RNA, 1363 nt
Filed under: Arthrobacter sp. MT16
Lineage: Bacteria; Bacillati; Actinomycetota; Actinomycetes; Micrococcales; Micrococcaceae
Description: bacterial SSU rRNA
Rfam family: Bacterial small subunit ribosomal RNA
Source: RNAcentral